UUGGGAAGCAAACUGAGGACAUGAGAGUAGAUCAAAAAAUCAAAAUGUUGGCGGAAAUUAUAGUUGAAAUGAUUAAUUGUGUAUACAUUUAAAUUAGAACCAUUUAUUUUAAUACUAUUAUGUUAUGGUAUGAAAUGUAUGGGUUCUUGAUUAAGCUGUUACUGAAAAUGUAAGUAAAACGAAUCAAUUGUCUGUACCUUGCGGGUUUAAGGGAGAGGGAUGGCAUAUCUCUUUAGACAGAUAAAAAUGUUUGUUUUAUGUUCCAUUAGUAGAGGAGAGUAUAUCUUUUAGACAGAUUGGAAUGUUUGUUUUAUGAGGGGAGUAGAAGACAGUCUCCAGACCUGAAGACACUGUGCUAUUGUUUGGAUCGGAGAGAGUGUGAGAAACUGAUGACGUCAUUUUAUGUUCUCUCCUUAAAAUGUAAUGUUCUUUGUAUUUGGAGUCAGUACUCUCUUGAAUUAAACGCUGUAACCUGACUUUUAAGACUGGUCUCGAUCUAUUUCAUGCAUAAAUGAUAAACUUACAACUUAUUAUGAAAUAGAGAGAGUGUGAAUUUGGUUUUGGCUACAAAACAUAUAGGAAUUUAGAAUUCCUCUAACAAUUGGUCCUUCGAUCCCAGAUCUAAAUACCCCUCCCUGUUAUCUGGAGGUAGUACGCUGAAAAUCGUGCACGGACGGGAGACACCCAUUUACAAAAAAAAAAGUAAUGGCCUCCGAAUUGAGGUUAAAAUUCAGGCCUGCGUAUUAUCACAGAAAUCAGGGAAGGUGACUAGAUACAACGAACAUUGCUUUUCCCAGUCGGCAGCAGAUUUUAUGCACUACAGGUGAAGUCACUCAAUCCAGUCCCAGAGGCUUGUUGGGGGGACCUACCAAGGACUCCUGGUGACAGCUAGCUGAAAGAGCUACCCGGAUUCAUAUCGCACGGCGGGAGGGUAAGACACGUUAACGCUGUCGAACAAUAAACAGUGUUCGAGAGGAGAACUGGAAUUAACAGAAUUCCGGGGGCCAUCUCUCGAAUGAAAAAACCCUCCCUGUCUUUUCAUCCCUGUUGUUGUUCAUAGAAGUGAAGAUGUGUAUGGCUCUUGCUAAGUGAUGUGUUCUCGGGGAGAGGGUGGGGCUUCACAUGGAAGCUGUUUGUCUGAGCUGUUUUAUCGUGGGUGACAUAUUCCUGAUACAGCAUGUCCUACUUGAGUAUGCGGAGAGUGGUAAUUUGACCCAUGGUUUAGACGAUGAGGAUUUUGUUCCAAAAUAAGCAUAAGAGAUCCCUAGAUCUGGGUAGACAGGAAGUUAGAGUAGAGGUUGGGAAGGAUCUCUCAAUGGAGUUUUAUGUAGACCAAAAUGGAGUCUCUAACUACAUGACAGUCUAGGACUCUAAGCCAUUAUGGCAUAUAUCGGUGCAGGUUCCCAUAUUGAUCGUGGACACAGGUCAUAGCUCAUUUGGAGAGAGAGGGCUAUAUGAAUCCACUCACCCAGUAUGGAAGAAGGUAGAGUAGAGUGAAGAUGAGAGUUUUUGAUUGUAAUCAGGAGAGAGGGAUGUAUUGCAUAAAGAUACGAUUAACCCUUUAAACAGAAAUGAAGGAGAAUCUAGGGUUGUGGUAUGGAUAUGACCAGGUCUUGGUCGACACCCUAGUACGGUUCUGGGUAGAGGACUUUGGGCCGGUAUGGUAAAGCUGUUCACGAAAGCAGGAAUGCCAGAUAAUGACAGUUGUAUUGAUUUGCAGUAUUUAAAUCCCCAGGUUCCUCCCUUUACAGUGACCGGAGGAGAUUAUUACCGUUUGGCCCGGUACAGUACUCUUGGGAAAUGAUGUCAGGGCGAGGUUUUACCAACAGAUUGGACAGGAUUAUGCUCCAUUGUAAUGCUUUUGACACUCAUUCAACACCAAGACAUGAAGUAUAGCCAAAUGGGAGAAAAGAGCUAUUCCAUCCGGGUCUCUUAUUGACUAAGUACACAUUGAUAACAUUGGGGUUCCAAGGGGGGUGCCAGAUGAGUCAAAGCAAGAAAUCAGAUCCUAGCAGGAUUAGAGUUAAGCAUUUCCGGGGGGGUCUACUCUCAAUAAGAACGUGGACUGGAUUAAUUAUAUUUAUAAUAAUCAACAGCGCUUUAACAAGUAUACCAGAGAUGCUAUUAAAGGUUUUGCAGAACAGACUGAAGCAACCAGCUGGAUGGCUUGGCAGAAUAGAAUUGCAUUAGAUAUGUUAAUGGCUGAAAAGGAAGAAGUAUGCGUGAUUAUCAGGACCAUGUUUGUGCUUACAUCCCAAAUAACACAGCUCCGGACGAAUCAGUGCCUGAAGCCUCAGCUGGUUUGACCACCCUGGCUCACGGGUUGGCAGAAAACUCUGGGGUGGAUACUUCUUUGACUGAUUGGGUUUUGAUAGUACGUUUGGAAAAUGGAAAAAUGUAAUGAUCACUGUGUUAUGGGCUACAUUCACCUGUGUGACUGUUUUAGUUUUAGGGGGCUGGUGUCUAAUUCCCUGUGUAUGAGGCCUUAUUUCCAGGACUCUGGAGAAAUCUAUGACAAUAGAUGGUGCGGUAUGGGCCGAUUCCAGGUUCUGACCCGUGGAGGACUGAAUGUAUGACUACAGAACAAGUGGACGAAUCUGGAUCUUUUAUUUGUGGGGAAUUUAUAUUUGAUGAGACCAUUUUUGAUGUUUAGGGAGGCUAGGUUGUAUCCCAUCUCAGGAUUAGACCGUUUUUUAAUAAAGAUUGUAACGAAAAUCCUGAUAAGAAGAGUUAUGAUUCUGAUGUAGGUUUAAAAACAGUUGGAGUUAAGGUUAGAUUUGAUUAAUGAUGGGUGAAGAGUGUGAUAAACCUUCAUAAUAAGGUUAAUUAUAAGUCUAUUCGUAUGAUAAGUCUGAUAAGCCUCUAUAAUAAGGUUAGUUAUAAGUUUGUUCAUAUUUUUGUUUUUUAUGUUUGAUAAAAUUAGAUGUAGAUUUGAAUGUAUAAUAUUUAAUCAAAGGGAGGAUUGUUGGAGGAAAUUAUAGUUGAAAUGAUUAAUUAUGUAUCCAUUAAAUUAGAACCAUUUAUUUUAAUACUAUUAUGUUAUGGUAUGAAAUGUAUGGGUUCUUGGUUAAGCUGUUACUGAAAAUGUAAGUAAAACGAAUUAAUUGUCUGUACCUUGCGGGUUUAAGGGAGAGGGAUGGCAUAUCUCUUUAGAAAGAUAAAAAUGUUUGUUUUAUGUUCCAUUAGUAGAGGAGAGUAUAUAUUUUAGACAGAUUGGAAUGUUUGUUUUAUGAGGGGAGUAGAAGACAGUCUCCAGACCUGAAGACACUGCGCUAUUGUGUGGAUCGGAGAGAGUGUGAGAAACUGAUGACGUCAUUUUAUGUUCUCUCCUUAAAAUGUAAUGUUCUUUGUAUUUGGAAUCAGUACUCUCUUGAAUUAAACGCUGUUACCUGGC
Oncorhynchus nerka (sockeye salmon) is the source of this 3394-nucleotide long non-coding RNA. RefSeq lists it as uncharacterized. The record is from RefSeq and is a predicted model, not a curated record. The transcript has 2 exons. NCBI's taxonomy places the organism in Eukaryota, Metazoa, Chordata, Actinopteri, Salmoniformes, Salmonidae.